ACGGAAAAUGGCUGCCUCCCUGCGGCCGCCGCCGCUCCAGGGGCUCCAGGGUCGAAGCCAUAGGGGAAGCCGCUUCUCGGUUACCUCGGCCAGCUUGGCUUCCGUGGAGGCCGCUCCUCGCUUUCUGAGGCUCAAAUGCAAGCCACCGCCCGGAAGGCCGCCCAUCUGAGGAGCGCAACCGCCGGCCCACCGCUGCCCUACCGCUGCCCUGUCCAGAGAAACGGAGACCUAAGAAGUGACUUGCUCAGGGUCACAUAGCUCAGCAGUGGCGGCCGCUAAUCGGAAAUAGCUCUCCUGUUGUGGUAUCCUCUGCGUUUUCCACUCCAGUAUUUCUUCCCUAGAAAAUGGGAUCCUUGUUUUCAUCUUAUAUCUCAUGCAGCGCCUAACAUAGUCACCUGCACCUGGAAUGGAUAAAAGUGGCAGUUUUUGUUUCUUCCCAUGAGGUUGUGUAUCUGGAAUAAGAACCAGGAAAUUAAUCUAGACUAAGACAUUUCUAAGGACCUGGAAUGGCUUUGGGGAGCACCAGGAGGACCUGAAAAGAGUAUUUGAGGGCCUAGAGGGACAGA
RNAcentral lists this small RNA (566 nucleotides) under Pongo abelii (Sumatran orangutan). RNAcentral's name for it is "processed transcript". Lineage: Eukaryota; Metazoa; Chordata; Mammalia; Primates; Hominidae. The record is from RNAcentral.